CCUCAUAGCCACACCCUCCUGAAUGCAUCUGACCUUGGAAGCUAAGCAGGGUCAGGCCUGGUUAGUACUUGGAUGGGAGACAACUGGGAAUAGGUAGUGCUGUAUGCU
RNAcentral lists this ribosomal RNA (108 nucleotides) under Neotoma lepida (desert woodrat). Lineage: Eukaryota; Metazoa; Chordata; Mammalia; Rodentia; Cricetidae. The record is from RNAcentral.